This 484-nucleotide ribosomal RNA is filed under the name uncultured bacterium. RNAcentral describes it as "partial 16S ribosomal RNA". It matches the Rfam family "Bacterial small subunit ribosomal RNA", at positions 30 to 507 of the family's 1533-position model. The record is from RNAcentral.
AUUGAACGCUGGCGGCAGGCCUAACACAUGCAAGUCGAGCGGCAGAAGGGAGAUUGCUUCCUGUUUCAGGGGGCGAGGGGCGGGUGAUGGCUAAGAAUAUCGCACUUUGCUGGUGCUUACGUCCGAACGCAGGGGCUCAUACCGCAUACGUGCUGAGGGAGUACGGGGGGGAGCUUCGGAUCUUCCGCCUUUUGAUGAUCCUAGGUCGGAUUAGCUAGUUGGUGGGGUAAAGGGCUACCAAGGCGACGAUCCGUAACUGGUCUGAGAGGAUGAUCAGUCACACUGGAACUGAGACACGGUCCAGACUCCUACGGGAGGCAGCAGUGGGGAAUAUUGGACAAUGGGCGAAAGCCUGAUCCAGCCAUGCCGCGUGUGUGAAGAAGGUCUUCGGAUUGUAAAGCACUUUAAGUUGGGAGGAAGGGCAGUAAGUUAAUACCUUGCUGUUUUGACGUUACCAACAGAAUAAGCACCGGCUAACUUCGUG